This is a long non-coding RNA of Patiria miniata (bat star), 365 nucleotides long. RefSeq lists it as uncharacterized. The record is from RefSeq and is a predicted model, not a curated record. Lineage: Eukaryota; Metazoa; Echinodermata; Asteroidea; Valvatida; Asterinidae. The transcript is spliced from 2 exons.
GGACACGAGGCGAGGACAAAUUAUGCCGACAGACCAUCUGUGCCACUAGUCCGUUGAAAAACAGAACAAGUGUGACGUGAGUGUGCAAUAAGCUCUGGCCGUCUUGCAUGAAAUUCUUGCAUGAAAUCGAUCAAAAUGAUGCCUGCCACUGAGCUGAAAAAAAAAUGGCCGGUACCAUCUUUCAAUGAGGGCGCUGUUCAAAGCGGACGAUCAUACACACUAUCGAACAAUAUGGGAGUUUUUCCAGAAGGCACACGCGCGAAAUUUCCAAAGGCACUCGUUACAGCCGCUAUAGUUACAAAUAGGCACUCAUUUGUUUUGGAAACCGGGCACUUGUUUAAAAAAAAACGCUGGGGGGGAGGGGG